GACGAACGCUGGCGGCGUGCUUAACACAUGCAAGUCGAACGGAAAGGCCCUGCAUUUGUGGGGUGCUCGAGUGGCGAACGGGUGAGUAACAAGUGAGUAACCUGCCCUUGACUUUGGGAUAACUUCAGGAAACUGGGGCUAAUACCGGAUAGGAGCUCCUGCUGCAUGGUGGGGGUUGGAAAGUUUCGGCGGUUGGGGAUGGACUCGCGGCUUAUCAGCUUGUUGGUGGGGUAGUGGCUUACCAAGGCUUUGACGGGUAGCCGGCCUGAGAGGGUGACCGGCCACAUUGGGACUGCGAGACGGCCCAGACUCCUACGGGAGGCAGCAGUGGGGAAUAUUGCACAAUGGGCGGAAGCCUGAUGCAGCAACGCCGCGUGCGGGAUGACGGCCUUCGGGUUGUAAACCGCUUUCGCCUGUGACGAAGCGUGAGUGACGGUAAUGGGUAAAGAAGCACCGGCUAACUACGUG
This 468-nucleotide ribosomal RNA is filed under the name uncultured bacterium. RNAcentral's name for it is "partial 16S ribosomal RNA". It matches the Rfam family "Bacterial small subunit ribosomal RNA", at positions 28 to 507 of the family's 1533-position model. The record is from RNAcentral.